GGGUUUGUGGCUCAAUGGUAGAGCGCUUGCCUAGCAUGCAUGAGGCACUGGGUUCGAUCCCUGGCACCA
This 69-nucleotide transfer RNA is filed under the name Ictidomys tridecemlineatus (thirteen-lined ground squirrel). Its description in RNAcentral is "Spermophilus tridecemlineatus (thirteen-lined ground squirrel) tRNA". It matches the Rfam family "tRNA". Rfam says of the family: Transfer RNA (tRNA) molecules are approximately 80 nucleotides in length. Their secondary structure includes four short double-helical elements and three loops (D, anti-codon, and T loops). Further hydrogen bonds mediate the characteristic L-shaped molecular structure. tRNAs have two regions of fundamental functional importance: the anti-codon, which is responsible for specific mRNA codon recognition, and the 3' end, to which the tRNAs corresponding amino acid is attached (by aminoacyl-tRNA synthetases). tRNAs cope with the degeneracy of the genetic code in two manners: having more than one tRNA (with a specific anti-codon) for a particular amino acid; and 'wobble' base-pairing, i.e. permitting non-standard base-pairing at the 3rd anti-codon position. The record is from Rfam by way of RNAcentral. Lineage: Eukaryota; Metazoa; Chordata; Mammalia; Rodentia; Sciuridae.